CUCAUGGGAACUUACACUGUAUAAUUCGCAGGGAAUGGAUGGCGAUGAGAAUCAGCAGCCAGCUGUUUCUGAAAAUCCAAGGGUUUCUGCCGAUCAAAACAGAAGUAGAAAAGUAUCAAAGCAAGACAGUGGAAUUCUUUCUCGCAUCUGGAAUAAGACCUUCAGAGCAUGCAAUGAGGAUUUCGAGAAAAAGUUGCAAUGUCUUUACGAGGAAGAAGCUUCUUCUAUUCAUGUGUGAAUGAAGAGAAGGGCUCAAAGGUGGUGAAAGAGAGUUGCUGUGGUGGCUUAUGCCAUCAUGAUCACAAGAUCAUUCAAUUUGAACUGGAAAAUGAGGGGUAGUACGAGUUUUUCCUAUGUUUGCGUUUGCCUUGCCUGCUCUGUCAUCUUUACUCUAUUCAACAAGCUUAACAAGGAUAUGUGACUGCAAGGACCAGAGAACACUUGAAAGGUUGCAUGCUGAAAGGCAGGCAAAAAUCGACGAGCUUAAAGAGCAAACAAACUAUUACAUAACACAGCUUCUUAUUCAGGACUGGCCAGGAAAGAAGACUUCCCAUACAUAACGUACCAUGCACUGAAUGGGGUGCAACAACCAGAAGAGCAUCAUCGUUCAGGUUUGAAUUCUGGCAAGCCAAGUUCUCCAGCUUCAGGCAGUGGUGAUGCAAACAGCAAUCCAGGUGGCUCAGAGACCCCAACUCAGCAGUUGUUAUAGCUAGACUCACAAAAGUUUCAACAUGAGGUCAUGGGUUCGAUUACCCAUUGUGGUGAAAUCCCACUGUGGUGUGAGUAGAGCUGGGCAUCGAGUCAAGUCGGACCAAGUUAGGGCUGACCUGACUCAAUCCAGUUUUGAAAUAGGCUUUGACCCGAACUCGAACUGACUCGGUAUCGAGUCUAGCAUGCCUGACCCGAUCUGAGUCCAGGUCUGGCCUGGACUAAUCUCGACUGAGUCUGACCCGGUCACAAGUACCAAGUCGGGUCGAGUCGGCACCCAGUCAAGUCGGGUGCAACGUGUAUUCACGGGCUGAAAUCACCACUCAAAGCCUAGAAUUGAAAACAAUAUCGGUUGUGUAACGGCACCACAUACAUAUCAUAUGCCUUGUGGAUGAGCAGCAGCAAUGUAACAUGGUGAUUGUAUCAUGUACCAUGUGCCACAUGUAUGAUCUGGUGGUCUUAUGAUGGACCCGUGGAUGUUCAAAAAUUGCCUCGAUUGAUGAUCCUGGCCGUCUAAUUGGUGGCUUCUAAAGAUUCUCACA
This is a long non-coding RNA of Magnolia sinica, 1250 nucleotides long. RefSeq lists it as uncharacterized. The transcript is spliced from 4 exons. The record is from RefSeq and is a predicted model, not a curated record. Lineage: Eukaryota; Viridiplantae; Streptophyta; Magnoliopsida; Magnoliales; Magnoliaceae.